GUAUGGCUGUUGUGUUAAUAAUUUGAUAUUUUUUCAUACUGUAUCUAGUGCGCAACAGUAUCGAAGACGCUAUUAAAGAUGUGCAGUCCAAGAAAGUCGAUGGAUUAUUCAUAGAUCACUACGCAAACACCUUUUAUCACUCAAGAGAAAAACUGAAAACGCUUCUCACCGUCAAGAAAUUGGAACUUCAAAGAGAUGUCGGGGUUCUCUUUUCAAAGGACAGAAAAUACCUGGCAGAUUGCUUAAAUUAUCAGCGUUCCACCAUUUUGAGGUCGGCUCAAACCAUCACUGCAACAUAUAAGUACACCAAAAGUAAUCCAGCCAAACAAUUCAGUUUGUUUGACGAUUCUUCCAGCUUUAUUAAAAUACUCCUGUACAUUUUGCUUGGAGUAUUGGCGGGAAUGCUUUGUAUUGGAGUAAUAUGGGACUUACUUAUCAGGAAGAAGUCUGGCAAGCAGCAAAAUUCCACGAUAGAGUGGCAAGCUGAAAACAAAGGGAUGGUGUUAACUGAGAGAGAAAGUAUUCUCAACGACUUUGAAGUAGGCAAAAGACUUCUUAAACAAAUGCAAGAUCACUUUAUUAUACUGGAAUCAAAGGUUUCAAAACUUCGGGGUAGCCAGUAAACGGUGCGUUCAGUGAGUUUUGCAAGUUACAAACCAUGCAACACGUGUACAGGUUAAAAAAAAUCUUGAUUGCAUAUCUAUGUAUGUACUGAUUUCACUCCAAAGGCAGGCAAUAUUCAACAUCUAUGUAAGAGGACAAGGCUAGAACAGCAUCAUCUACCUAUCUAUCACAACUUGAUGGAAAUUGCUGAAAAGAAGUGUGCUUGUUUGUUAAAGUAAUCGUACUGGAAAAUAGCUUCCGUGUAUGAUUUCGUCAUGCGUUAAGUGAAUUUUUCUUCUCCAGCUUCUAGCUUAAUUUUUUUUUAAUUACUCCUUAUUAUAUCUGCCAAUCUGCAUCUUGACAUUUUGGCUUGGGGUAAAGUUAUCUAUUCUUACGUAAACUUACAGGUAGCUUAUUACUUCCACUGUACUUACGAACUUAACGAAUGCAGAUCAUCGAUCUCUUUGAAGUUUUCAAAUUCUUGUAUUAGUCCAAAACUUAGCCUUUUUUUCCAUAAGGUUUUCAGCCCCUUUUUGCAGAUUGAAAAACUUUACUUAGCAAAUUAUUUCAUCAUUGUCUCUCAUAAUCAGUUCAAUAGAUAACAACAAAAGUCUUUGUUAAGUUCUUACUUAGUUAAAAUGCAUUGUAUUUUGUCGUUUGAGUAGUUCAAUAGUUCAGGAAGUCCAGCUGCGUGCAUCCAGCGGCAGGAGGAGACUACUAUAAGGCCUUGCGAACAGUAAAUGGUUGAUUAUUUUAACUGGAGGCCAAUUCGACCGCAGAGGUGACUUAGCGAGAUUAAAAACACACUAGGCUACUAUCCUUUGAUGGCGAGGGUGGCCUGCACGCAAGCAACCGUGUUUAUCUAUUACUCCUUGCUCAAUAGAAUGGAAAAUACCUAAAAUACGAAUGUAUUUAUGUACACAUAACACUUAGUGAAAAACAGAAAGACAAAACAAAUAAAUAUAUGUUCAAAAUC
Molecule: long non-coding RNA, 1579 nt
Organism: Pocillopora damicornis (cauliflower coral)
Lineage: Eukaryota; Metazoa; Cnidaria; Anthozoa; Scleractinia; Pocilloporidae
Source: RefSeq, a predicted model, not a curated record